RNAcentral lists this long non-coding RNA (462 nucleotides) under Vigna radiata. Its description in RNAcentral is "long non-coding RNA (VRAD_LNC000876)". The record is from RNAcentral. Lineage: Eukaryota; Viridiplantae; Streptophyta; Magnoliopsida; Fabales; Fabaceae.
AAAACCUACAUGUUUCCCAACAUCAUGGAACUAAUAUUGGCUUGUUGGCUAUUAUGACAGGAAGCUGGUGUAAUACACCAAGAGGAUCGUCCAUAGAUAGAGGAGACUGAGGAAAGUAUUAUUACACAAACCUUUCAGUUUCGCAAUGGAAAGAAAAGGUGGGGGAGAAAAGUUGUGGGUGGCAGUAAUAGUGGUAGUGAGGAGACUGAGGAAAGGGAAGAUAAAUUGUAAUGAGCAAUAGACAACGGUGGCGAUAAUAGCAGACAAUGGUAGUGAACUGCAAAACAAAAAGGUUGUGGACAAUGAAGAACGAAAAAUAGGAAUGGGAGAACUGAGGUCAUAUAUCUCUAUGGUUUCGGUUUUUCAAUAUUUAAGGUCAAAAAGUUGAAUAUAAUUGUAGAGUUAUCAUUGUUUAUAUUUUAAUAGUUUAUAUGAGAAAGGAAAUUUGACUUUAUUUGUAAG